GUGGGGAAUUUUGGACAAUGGGCGAAAGCCUGAUCCAGCCAUGCCGCGUGCAGGAUGAAGGCCUUCGGGUUGUAAACUGCUUUUGUACGGAACGAAAAGACUUCUUCUAAUACAGGAGGUCCAUGACGGUACCGUAAGAAUAAGCACCGGCUAACUACGUGCCAGCAGCCGCGGUAAUACGUAGGGUGCAAGCGUUAAUCGGAAUUACUGGGCGUAAAGCGUGCGCAGGCGGUUAUAUAAGACAGAUGUGAAAUCCCCGGGCUCAACCUGGGAACUGCAUUUGUGACUGUAUAGCUAGAGUACGGUAGAGGGGGAUGGAAUUCCGCGUGUAGCAGUGAAAUGCGUAGAUAUGCGGAGGAACACCGAUGGCGAAGGCAAUCCCCUGGACCUGUACUGACGCUCAUGCACGAAAGCGUGGGGAGCAAACAGGAUUAGAUACCCGUGUAGUCC
RNAcentral lists this ribosomal RNA (450 nucleotides) under uncultured bacterium. Its description in RNAcentral is "bacterial SSU rRNA". It matches the Rfam family "Bacterial small subunit ribosomal RNA", at positions 354 to 796 of the family's 1533-position model. The record is from RNAcentral.